Molecule: long non-coding RNA, 3056 nt
Filed under: Zostera marina
Lineage: Eukaryota; Viridiplantae; Streptophyta; Magnoliopsida; Alismatales; Zosteraceae
Description: long non-coding RNA (ZMAR_LNC003091)
Source: RNAcentral
GUUGUUCAUGUUAUCCCUUAAUAAGUAAAGGAUUAAGGAAUAAAUUUGAACCUACUGCCUAUAAAUGUGUCUUUAUAGGGUAUUCAAACAAACACAAAGGAUAUAUGUGUUUAAAGUUAGAAGAUAAUAAAGUCAUUAUAUCUCGAAAUGUCAAAUUUAAUGAAAAUGAGUAUCCUUUUUUAACUAAAACAGAUACUAAAACAGUAAAGAAGCCUGAAAAGAAAAUGAUAAUACUUCCAAGACUAGCUACUACAAUAAAUUUUGGCUUUCCUAUAAAUACAGGAAACUCAAACAGUGAGUUAAGGGUAGAACCAGAGUCAAGUCCUGUAAGGAGAGUCACUCACUCACAACAGAACAACUCUACAAAUGACUCAAUGGAUAUAAUCUCAGAGUCAACUGAGAUAAGUAGCUUAGUACCCCAGACCAUGAGAGUUGAGUCUGAUAUGCAAUCUAACACUAGAAGUGAGACAAGACAACAAAGAGAUAUUUCUGAGAAUCAAAUAAACACAGUUUGUAACUCAAUACCACGAGAUAUAAGUAGUAGAUCUGAAGAACCAAUCAACAUAGGAGUUAGAUAUCCGACUAGAGAUAGAAAAGCACCAAAGUUUUUAGAAAAUUAUGAGUGUAAUUCUUGCUCUGGCGAAGAGAUAGAACCAUCCACCUUCAGUGAGGCAAGUAAAGAACCUAAGUGGAAUGAGGCAAUGCAAGAGGAACUAGAUGCAUUGAAAAUUAACAAAACAUGGACUUUAGUACCAAAAAAUUCGUCAAUGAAUAUAGUAGGUUGUAAGUGGGUCUAUAAAAUUAAAAAGAACUCAGAUGGUUCAAUAGAAAGGUACAAAGCUAGAUUAGUAGCUAAGGGCUACAAUCAGGAGGAAGGAGUGGACUAUACAGAGACUUACAGUCCAGUAAUUAGGAUGAACACAGUAAGAUCAAUCAUUUCAAUUGCUGUGACAUAUAACUGGCAGCUAAGACAACUGGAUAUCAAAAAUGCCUUCCUAAAUGGCUUUCUAAACGAAACAGUAUACAUGAGACAACCAACUGGGUUUCAUAAUAAGAGUUAUCCAGAUCAUGUGUGUCUAUUACAUAAGGCUCUAUAUGGCUUAAAACAAGCACCCAGAGCUUGGUACUCAAGACUUCAAAAUUUUCUAGUUGAAAAUGAAUUCAAAAAUAGUCUUACAGAUUCCUCAUUGUUCCUCAAAGUGAACAAUGGACAUAGAAUCUACAUACUAGUCUAUGUAGAUGAUAUUAUAAUUACUGGGGAUUCCAGUGAGGAAGUAAAUAGGUGCAUAGAAUUAAUAUGUAAACAAUUUUCAUGUAGAGACCUAGGGCUUCUUAACUAUUUUUUAGGAAUGGAAUGUAUAAGACAAGGGAAAACCUUAAUUCUAAGUCAAGAAAAAUAUGUGUAUGAUAUAUUGAAAAAAUUCAAUAUGAUGGAAUGCACACCAUGUAGGACACCAAUGGUUCAAAAUCCAAGACUAAAUAAAAAUUCAGGGACUCCUAUAGAAAACAAUACAAUAUACAGAAACAUUGUAGGGUCCUUACAAUAUCUAACUAUGACUAGACCUGAUAUUGUCUUUUGUGUGAAUCAUCUUAGUCAGUUUCUACAAACACCAACUGAUGUACAUCUUAGUUUUGCUAAGAGGAUGCUAAGAUAUAUCAAGGGAUCUUCUAACCUAGGACUGAGAUUUACACCUUCAGUCAAACUAGUAAAUUCUUUGAUAGCCUACUGUGAUUCAGACUGGGCAAGUGAUACUGAUGAUAGGAGAUCAGUGUCUGGAUUCAGCAUCUGGUUUGCUGGAAAUUUGGUAGCCUGGGCAUCAAAGAAACAGGCAGUGGUAUCAAAAUCGAGUUGUGAGGCUGAAUACAGGGCACUAUCUGGGAUAACUUCAGAAGUUAAGUGGUUCUGUAAUUUGUUUAGGGAACUGGAGAUUAGGUUUGAGACAGCUCCACAAAUAUUAUGUGAUAAUAAAUCAGCAAUUUUUCUCACUAAAAAUCCAUCAUCAAACCUGAAAACUAGACAUAUAGAUAUCUCACACCAUUUUAUUAGAGAGCUGGUGAUGAAAGGGGCAAUAAAAGUGGAUUAUAUUGCUGCUAGUCAACAACUAGCAGAUGGUUUCACUAAAGUACUGGGAACAGGGCAAUUUAUGGUUCAUAGGGAUAGACAUAAACUAGUACCAACCAGUCCUGAUCCUAGAAUCAUAAUGAAGGACAAGAAUAGGCUAACAAAAUCGCAAGACAUAAGUAAACCAAAGCUAAUUAAGGAGGCUUAGGAGAAUGACUAUAUAAGGGAGACUAUAAUACUGGAUAUUAGGUUAUAUAGAUAAUAAUAAUAAUAAUAAUGAUACUGAGGUGUUGUAUUUCUGAUUUCUGUUCUUAUAGUAAUACUUGUAUUCAUAUUAGGAAAUGUUACAUAAAUAUGAUGUUGAAAAUUGCAGGGUGAUAAUCUGAAAUAUAGUCUAAAAAUAUUUUGUCUGUUUGUUAAGGAAUGGUCUAUAUUUUUCUGGUUUGGUUUGUGGGAAUGGCUACUGUGGAUGUAUGUUUGUGUGGUUGCAGGUCAUACUAAGAUAGGUCAUGCCCAAAUAACUGGAAAUUUAAUCUGGAGCAGAAAAUGUGAAAUCUAGAGCAGCAGGAGCUUUGAGAAUGAGCAGCGAGUUUUUUUUUUUGUUCUUUCUUUCAGGGUCUUAAUUGGCAUAACAGGAGGGUUUUCCCAGUAAAAAUGAAAGAAAGAGGAGCAAAAAUAAGAAUCCCAGCUGGGUUUUUCGCCCCCCCUGUUAGUUCAAUUAAUUCAUAGCUGAGUUAGUUCACAAGGCUGCUAAGGAGGUGGACAGACAAGCUGAUGAUCAUACUCAUGUUCAAAUUCACAACUCAGGAUUGCAUUCUGGAGUUGUCAAUUUGCGGGGGAAUGUAAAGAGUUAAAAAUACUAUAAGGAGUAUUUUAUAAAUGUACCCAUAAUAUCAAUUAUAAGUAUAGGUUAAUAUGUAAUGAUAGAUUAAGUUGAAUGUUAUAAUCUUUGAGUGUCAAUUAAAGAGUUUACUCUUUCUUCUUCUUGUUUGAC